GAAGUUAGCGGCGGACGGGUGAGUAACACGUGGGUAACCUGCCCAUAAGACUGGGAUAACUCCGGGAAACCGGGGCUAAUACCGGAUAACAUUUUGAACCGCAUGGUUCGAAAUUGAAAGGCGGCUUCGGCUGUCACUUAUGGAUGGACCCGCGUCGCAUUAGCUAGUUGGUGAGGUAACGGCUCACCAAGGCAACGAUGCGUAGCCGACCUGAGAGGGUGAUCGGCCACACUGGGACUGAGACACGGCCCAGACUCCUACGGGAGGCAGCAGUAGGGAAUCUUCCGCAAUGGACGAAAGUCUGACGGAGCAACGCCGCGUGAGUGAUGAAGGCUUUCGGGUCGUAAAACUCUGUUGUUAGGGAAGAACAAGUGCUAGUUGAAUAAGCUGGCACCUUGACGGUACCUAACCAGAAAGCCACGGCUAACUACGUGCCAGCAGCCGCGGUAAU
This 451-nucleotide ribosomal RNA is filed under the name Bacillus cereus. RNAcentral describes it as "bacterial SSU rRNA". It matches the Rfam family "Bacterial small subunit ribosomal RNA", at positions 88 to 524 of the family's 1533-position model. The record is from RNAcentral. Lineage: Bacteria; Bacillati; Bacillota; Bacilli; Caryophanales; Bacillaceae.